GGUUAGGUUAGGGGUAGAGUAGGUUAGGUUAGGUUAGGUUAGGGGUAGAGUAGGUUAGGGUAAGUUAGGUUGGGUUUGGUUAAGUUAGGUUAGGGUAAGUCAGGUUGGGUUUGGUUAAGUUAGGUUAUUAAAUUAGGAUAAGUUAGGUUAAGUUAGGUUAAGUUAGGAUAAGUUGAGUUAAGUUAGGUCAUUGGAUUAGGGGUUUGGCAUGGAGAUGAAGAAAGGUGAUUGUAGGGUGAGUAGGUUAGCUUAAGUUUGGUUUAGAAUAAAGACAAAUGAAAGGAGAG
Scylla paramamosain (green mud crab) is the source of this 287-nucleotide long non-coding RNA. RefSeq lists it as uncharacterized. The transcript has 2 exons. Lineage: Eukaryota; Metazoa; Arthropoda; Malacostraca; Decapoda; Portunidae. The record is from RefSeq and is a predicted model, not a curated record.